GAUGAACGCUGGCGGCGUGCCUAAUACAUGCAAGUCGAGCGAACAGACGAGGGGCUUGCUCCUCUGACGUUAGCGGCGGACGGGUGAGUAACACGUGGAUAACCUACCUAUAAGACUGGGAUAACUUCGGGAAACCGGAGCUAAUACCGGAUAAUAUAUUGAACCGCAUGGUUCAAUAGUGAAAGACGGUUUUGCUGUCACUUAUAGAUGGAUCCGCGCCGCAUUAGCUAGUUGGUAAGGUAACGGCUUACCAAGGCGACGAUGCGUAGCCGACCUGAGAGGGUGAUCGGCCACACUGGAACUGAGACACGGUCCAGACUCCUACGGGAGGCAGCAGUAGGGAAUCUUCCGCAAUGGGCGAAAGCUUGACGGAGCAACGCCGCGUGAGUGAUGAAGGUCUUCGGAUCGUAAAGCUCUGUUAUUAGGGAAGAACAAAUGUGUAAGUAACUAUGCACGUCUUGACGGUACCUAAUCAGAAAGCCACGGCUAACUACGUG
Molecule: ribosomal RNA, 497 nt
Filed under: uncultured bacterium
Lineage: Bacteria
Description: partial 16S ribosomal RNA
Rfam family: Bacterial small subunit ribosomal RNA
Source: RNAcentral